UUUGUGCAGUCGCUGGGAAGGAAGGAGACGCCUAAACCGCGGCACUGCCCGGUUUGAGCGUAGCCAAACCUGCCCACCGGCUUUGUAGCCCCGAUUCUCUGUGUUUUGCUCCCGUCUCCGACGAGAGAGGCGGCGACGGUGGCGUCUGCGACGGGAGACAGCGCGUCGGAGCGAGAGAGCGCUGCGCCUGCCGCCGCCCCAACAGCGGAGGCGCCGCCGCCAUCGGUCGUCACCAGACCGGAGCCGCAGGCCCUCCCGAGCCCGGCCAUCCGUGCCCCGCUCCCAGAUCUCUAUCCUUUUGGGACCAUGCGCGGAGGAGGCUUUGGGGACCGGGACCGGGAUCGUGACCGUGGAGGCGUCAACUAUUCUGCCUCGCUAGAAAGUUCUUGGUAUUGUGGACCGGGCGUGGUGCCUCAGGCCUGUAAUCCCAGCGAUUUGGGA
RNAcentral lists this long non-coding RNA (441 nucleotides) under Homo sapiens (human). RNAcentral describes it as "non-protein coding lnc-DMC1-3:2". Lineage: Eukaryota; Metazoa; Chordata; Mammalia; Primates; Hominidae. The record is from RNAcentral.